RNAcentral lists this small RNA (99 nucleotides) under Marmota monax (woodchuck). The record is from RNAcentral. Lineage: Eukaryota; Metazoa; Chordata; Mammalia; Rodentia; Sciuridae.
GCCAGGCACAGUGGCCUUUGCCUGUAAUCACAGCAGAUUGGGAGGUUGAGGCAGGAGGAUCACUAACAGCCUGGGCAAGUUAGUGAGACUCUGUCUCAA